GGGCGUGGUUUGACUGUACUAAAUCUGAUUGGUUUGAGACUCUAUCAGUCAUGGUAGCAGUAGCACUACAGGCUUUUAGAGAUACGUAAUUUAAUAACUGUUACUGGUGAGCUGUCAUUGACGUCGAAUGAUCAAGCUAAUUUUUUUAAAAUCUGAAACUAACUAGUAGCAGGUGUCUUCAACCACGCUCAAAGAGUCAGCCAUCCAGCCUUGGUCUUUUUUCUAUUCGAUUUGCGGCAAAACCGAAACGUCUGAGCAAUUAGGCUACUGGUUGAUUUGCAUCUUGUAACAACACUAUUUCAUUGCACACAUGCAGGACACAGCAUCACCAAGAAUCAGAUUCAUUACGCGUUUCACGGAUUUCCAGGAAGACCUAUAACGAAAGAGGCCAGCCAUGGAGGACAGGAGACUUCCCCCUACAGUGCCCUUAGUGGUCAAAACUGAGCCAGACACAGAGACCCGUAGGGUGAGAGAGGAGGAACAGCCUACCAUUCCCAUCAGGGUUAAAAAAGAGGACCUCUCUGAAGUGCCCCUCAAAGUGCCCAGAUUCAAGUACGUGGACUUCCCUUCGCUACACCAGUGCAUCCAGCAGCUCACUGUGCCACCCCUGGACAGCUGGCUGGAAGGCUUUCCCCUGGCUCUGGGAAGACCCUCUGGAGGACACACCCCUGUCACUUCCAAGGAGAGAGUUCCCAAGUUUCGGUAUGUAGAUUAUCCCUCCCUGCACCACUGCAUCCAGCAGCUGUCUGUGCCGCCUCUGGAGAGCUGGAGCUCGGGGUUGGCCAGGUCAGGGUGUGGGGUGACAGGUGGACCUGGAUCCACCAACCCUCAGCCCAGCUCUGUGAGGGAGAAUCAGACAAUACAGGGAGAUGGUUCAGCAUCGGCUCACAAACAGGACAAGUAUACUGCUUUCCCCUUUCCUGGUCCUGACUCCGGCUCCAUCCAGUGUGUGACCUCCUCAAACAAGGCAUCCCAUAAGCCUCAGCGGCUUCAGCUGCGCUUGAGCAGUCCAACCGGAACCAGGCCCGCAUUAAGCUCACAGGGGGAAGAGGCUCGCCAUAAGGUGGUGUGUUCAGAUCAGCUGUCUCAAAAGUUCUCUAAUCCCAAAUCUUGGGUUGCUGGAAUGAAGCGUGUCAGAGGAGCGGGCCCACUCCAUCAGAGCAAUAGGAAGUCAGCUGGUGAUGAUGAAUGGCAUGCAGACCUAAAGAAAACUCCACAAAGUCAUCAAGAGGCCCAAGUAAAGCUAAGUGACUCUCCUGACCUAGGACAAGGGUUUUGGAGAACCAUCCCAGAGUCUGUCUGCCCCUUUUGCCAAAAGAUGUUUUCAGAUCCAGAGGAAUUGCGGAUCCACCAGAAGAGUCACAGAGAAAAGGUGAAUCUGUACUACCCUGAAAAUGUUCUGGAUAUGUGACAAAUCCUUCUUUAACUGAUCAAAUUGUGUAUCAAACAAUGAUGAAUCUUGUCUCAUGUGUGUCAUAUAAUUUCAGAAGCCUCAUUGAUGUCUUGACCAAGGAAAUGUACAGCUGACAACAAUGAACAUCUUAAAAACUGUGCAUCUACUUCAGUACUUGCUACACAGGCGUGGACUAGGGCUGGCUUCUCCACAAAUGAUUGGUCACCUGAUAAGAUUUCCACUGAGGUUGUUUUGAGUGUUCAGUGUUAAUCUUGAUGACCUAAGUGACUGACUAUAAACAAACCACUUUAGCUAAGGGCUUCAUUCAUAAUUCAGUCUAGGAAUUAAGCUCUCAAUGUGAAAAACUGACCUGCAGUGGCUCUUGGUGGUCUUACAACUCCUUAUUUACCUAUGGGUUAAUUUGCCAGGAGGUGGUACACAUUAGAUGAGAUAGAACAAGGAAAUGAGCCAUUUGAUGUUGUUUAAAUUAAAAUGUCAGGAAUUAGAUUGAAAUGCAAUGCAGUGCAUACAUUUUUGUAUUACUGUAGUUGAGAAUUAGACUUUCAUUUAUUUUCCUUAAAAGGGAUGCCAAUGUUUUCCUGUUUACAAGCUGUUCUUGGCAGAAACAUUAAUAAGUGGGGGUAUCAGCACCUUGUUCACUGGAGAUGGCUGCCUGUUCCAAUAUUUCAACAUAAUUAUCUAGAUUUGGGUGCCUAUAAAACCUUUAACUUUUGGCUUAUGCUGCGAAACAACACAUGCUUCUUUAUAAUUUCUUAUCUAAUGUUUUUAUGCUUUGUAUUUUAAUGUUUCUUUUUUACCAUGACAAUUAUAUGUAUAUUAUUGAUUGUAUUGUCUAGAAAUAACUUUAAACUUUUCUUAAACUUUGUUUUAAAUUCUGUGUGCAUUAAAGAUUUUCUAGUAAAGAUGACUCUACUUUACAUCUCCAACAAAUGCUUUACACUUACAAG
This 2361-nucleotide long non-coding RNA is filed under the name Salmo salar (Atlantic salmon). Its description in RNAcentral is "lncRNA (ENSSSAG00000108439.1)". Lineage: Eukaryota; Metazoa; Chordata; Actinopteri; Salmoniformes; Salmonidae. The record is from RNAcentral.